This 48-nucleotide non-coding RNA is filed under the name Schistosoma curassoni. Lineage: Eukaryota; Metazoa; Platyhelminthes; Trematoda; Strigeidida; Schistosomatidae. The record is from RNAcentral.
AUCCAACUGAUGAGUCCCAAAUUGGACGAAACACGCGUCAAACUGGAU